Molecule: small nuclear RNA, 107 nt
Filed under: Rhinolophus ferrumequinum (greater horseshoe bat)
Lineage: Eukaryota; Metazoa; Chordata; Mammalia; Chiroptera; Rhinolophidae
Source: RNAcentral
GUGCUCGCUUCAGCAGCAUGUAUACUAAAAUUGGAAGGAUAUAGAGAAGAUUAGCAUGACCCCUGCUCAAGGAUGACAUGCAAAUUCAUGAAGCCUAAUUGUUUUUU